RNAcentral lists this ribosomal RNA (254 nucleotides) under uncultured bacterium. RNAcentral's name for it is "partial 16S ribosomal RNA". It matches the Rfam family "Bacterial small subunit ribosomal RNA", at positions 524 to 776 of the family's 1533-position model. The record is from RNAcentral.
UACGUAGGGCGCAAGCGUUAUCCGGAAUUAUUGGGCGUAAAGAGCUCGUAGGCGGUCUGUCGCGUCGGCUGUGAAAUCCCGAGGCUCAACCUCGGGUCUGCAGUCGAUACGGGCAAACUAGAGUAUUGCAGGGGAGACUGGAAUUCCUGGUGUAGCGGUGAAAUGCGCAGAUAUCAGGAGGAACACCGGUGGCGAAGGCGGCCUUCUGGACAGUGACUGACGCUGAGACGCGAAAGCGUGGGGGAGCAAACAGG